This is a long non-coding RNA of Daphnia pulex (common water flea), 1299 nucleotides long. RefSeq lists it as uncharacterized. Lineage: Eukaryota; Metazoa; Arthropoda; Branchiopoda; Diplostraca; Daphniidae. The transcript is spliced from 2 exons. The record is from RefSeq and is a predicted model, not a curated record.
UCCCAAGUACUGCACCACCGAGGCUCCCAAGUACUGCACCACCGAGGCUCCCAAGUACUGCACCACCGAGGCUCCCAAGUAUUACACGACUACGAAUGCUGCCGCAGCCUACUACACCGAGGCUCAAGCUUAUUUCAAUACCAAAGCGGUCGAGUACUACACCGAACCGCACAAGUACUACUCUGCCCCGAACUACACAACCACAACUGAGGCGGCGGAGUACGUCGUAGUCCAGACUUGCAACACAGCAGCUGCUCCUUCGUACUAUGUUGAACUGAAAUAAUACUCCGAGGCUCCAGUUUACUACGCCGCAACCCACGCUACACCUAGAUACUAUGACGAAGCCCCCAACUACUACACCGAAGAGGCCACAUAUUACACAACAACGUACACUGCCCCAGUUUACUAAGCUGAGGAUCCGAAAAAUUACUUUGCUCCAAGCUACUACCAAUCUGAUACUCUUGUUUACUACACCGAGGCCACUGGGUAUUACACCACAAACAAAUGUUAACUAUGGUGUCUUGCUGCUGUUGGUUGUGUUAUCCUUGAUGGCUGGGUCGGCCACUGAUGUCUUUUGAGUAUGGUGGAUACCAAACCGCAACGCCGGCGUCUUACUACACAACAACAUACGCAACAACCGAAUACCACACCACCAAGGCCCCAGAGUAUUACACCGCAACUUAUGAUAUUCCGAACUACUACAUCGAAGCCUUAAAGUACUCUGCCGCGAGUUACACCACCAAGGCAUCGGGGUACCACCCGACUACGUAUGCUGCCCCAGUCUUUUACACCGAUGCUCCCAAGUACUUCUCCGUUCCCAGUUACUACACCAAGGCUCCAGCUUAUUACGCCACCAAAGCGGUCCACUGUAGCGCCCUAGUACUACUCUGCACCGAAUUACUACUCAGCGGCUGCUCCUUCGUACUACGUCGGACCGAAAUACUACACUGAGGCUCAAGUUUACUACACUACAAUCCACGCUGCCCUCGACUACCAUACCGAGGCUCCGCUCCCAUACCGAUGUUCCCAAGUACUACACAACUAAGGUACCCGAGUAUUAUAUCACUACUUAGGCUGCUCUGACCUGCUGCACCGAAGCUGCGAAGUAUUCCACCGCCCCGAGUUACUACACCAUCAAGGCACCCCUGGAUAUUACAUCACAACCUGCGCUUCUCCAGUUUACUACAGGGAUGCUCUUAAAUACUAGAGUCAAAAUUUCUGACUUAGUUAUUUGUAUUCAGAUUUGUGGUGUCAUAUCCUAAUAGUUACUAAAUGAGAAAAUAAAUUUGUUUAAUGGUA